RNAcentral lists this ribosomal RNA (652 nucleotides) under bacterium SC1-13. RNAcentral describes it as "bacterial SSU rRNA". It matches the Rfam family "Bacterial small subunit ribosomal RNA", at positions 338 to 974 of the family's 1533-position model. The record is from RNAcentral.
CCUACGGGAGGCAGCAGUAGGGAAUCUUCCACAAUGGACGAAAGUCUGAUGGAGCAACGCCGCAGUGAGUGAAGAAGGUUUUCGGAUCGUAUAAGACUCUGUUCGUAAGGAGAAGAACAAGUGCAGUAGUAACUGGCUGCACCUUGACGGUACCUUAUUAGAAAGCCACGGCUAACUACGUGCCAGCAGCCGCGGUAAUACGUAGGUGGCAAGCGUUGUCCGGAUUUAUUGGGCGUAAAGCGCGCGCAGGCGGUCCUUUAAGUCUGAUGUGAAAGCCCACGGCUCACCGUGGAGGGUCAUUGGAAACUGGAGGACUUGAGUGCAGAAGAGGAAAAGUGGAAUUCCAAGUGUAGCGGUGAAAUGCGUAGAGAUUUGGAGGAACACCAGUGGCGAAGGCGACUUUCUGGUCUGUAACUGACGCUGAGGCGCGAAAGCGUGGGGAGCAAACAGAGAUAUAGAUACCUUGUUAGUCCACGCUGUAAACGAUGAGUGCUAAGUGUUAGGGGUUUUCCGCCCCUUAGUGCUGCAGCUAACGCAUUAAGCACUCCGCCUGGGGAGUACGGUCGCAAGACUGAAACUCAAAGGAAUUGACGGGGGCCCGCACAAGCGGUGGAGCAUGUGGUUUAAUUCGAAGCAACGCGAAGAACCUUAC